GUCAUAUCCUAAGGCUAAGGAUGUAAUUUUUUAAAAGAUUACUGAGAUCAACUACAGUUAUAAAAUUAAAUAUUGCUUUCUUUAUAUUCAACUAAAAAUAAAUAAAUUUGCUGAUUUGAAGUUUGACCCAAAAAAAAAAUAUGUGUGUAUCUGUUUACUGUACCCCUAUUUUUUUGGCCAUUUUUUAUUAAGCACUGUUAAAGUCGCAAUGUUGCUCCUGUAUACUCAAUGUAAAAAAAUAAAUUAAAUUAAAAAAAAUCCAUAUCUAACUUCUUUUCAGCAUGUGACAGUAAACACACAUACUUUUUUGUUUGACCUUACAUUCAUUUCCAUUAUCUCCCCUUGGUUUAACACAAUUGUGCAAAUUAUUAUCUCCCCUGACCAAAUCAUAAAUUCUUUGAAUUAUAAAUAAAAACAUAAUUUUUGGCAUAUGUGAGAAUCAAAAACAGUGCGUUGAAAUUUGUUUAAUAAAGGCAACAUAAAAAAGUUCUUAGUUUAUUUCAUUUUUGUUAGAAAAAUGUGAUACAAAGUUUACAGGAAAAUAUAAAAUAAAUGGUUUUUGAUUUAAAAAUAAAAGGUGGGAAUUUACUCUUACAACAGUAACAACCAUUAAAUGUUUUAUAACACUUACAUAACAACCUAAUCAAUAAUUUCUAACAAAUAAUAA
Molecule: long non-coding RNA, 667 nt
Filed under: Mytilus galloprovincialis (Mediterranean mussel)
Lineage: Eukaryota; Metazoa; Mollusca; Bivalvia; Mytilida; Mytilidae
Source: RNAcentral